Cyanistes caeruleus (blue tit) is the source of this 440-nucleotide non-coding RNA. NCBI's taxonomy places the organism in Eukaryota, Metazoa, Chordata, Aves, Passeriformes, Paridae. The record is from RefSeq and is a predicted model, not a curated record.
GCUCUCUGCUAGGAAGGCAGACUUCCAAGGAGAACUGUAACACAGGAGGACUGGAGCAAGAAACGUGAUGCAGAGAAUUUUCAGGGAAGCCCAGGACAUCUUUCAGCUGAUGGGACACAUACAUGAAAUGUAGUCCAGAAAUGGCUCCAAAGAACUUUCAGCAUCAAUCAACAAGAUAGAUGAAAGAGGAAGAGAGAAGCAGCACUGCUUGCCCACAUAUGAAGUCAAGAGAUGGAGGAGUUGGUGGUUACGUGCUGCACUGCUUGGUGGAUACAUGCCUGGCUAUAUGCAGGGUGAAAGAAAAGUCGCAUGCUUCAUCCCUUCACAUUAACAUAGGAAAAUCAUCUCACUGAAGUGCACAUCCUCCUAUUUCUGAGGCAAAGCAGAAGAAUAUGAGACAACAGAAACAAUGGAAACUGCAACAAAUUAAUAAAUUUUAU